AAGAAGUGAAAAACUCAAAUCACAUAAAUGGUCUCACCAAAUUCCAAAUAUUGGACUCAAGAAGAGGAAAAAACAAAUGGGACCAAACCGGUUCGGUAUGUAGCAAUGUUGGACCGUGGGGACCGGACAAUAACAUACACAAAAAGAGACAAAUGAGUGCUGGAAGAAAGCAAAAUUUCACAUUGCUAUUUAUAUUUUUCUUCUUGAAUAAUUUUUUUUUUUUUUUUGUGAUAUAAGUAUUAUAACAUAUAUCUAUAUAAUAAGAUGUUUGUAUAUGUUAUGAUAUUGGGAAAAGUGAGUAAUAAUUAAUUGCAAUUGUAUGCUUAUAAUUAAAAAAGGACUGUCUCCAUUUCAUCAGUCAGUUUUGUUUGCACCUUACAAAGGACCAGAAGAGAGAACCUAUGAACAAAGUAAAAUACACAACCCGUGAUUUUUAUUUUUAUUUUUUCUAAUUUCUCUAUUCAUUUUUUUAUUUAUUUGGUUUUUUUUACUUUUUAACUAUCUGCACAUUUCUGAUACAAAUUGUCAUCUCAAAAACAAAAAACAAAAGACGUUAUUAACUUUCACGAAUUAGACAAUAGCUCCGGACACAAGAUCUAUCAAAUAUUUUUGGUAACAGAAACAAAA
This 627-nucleotide long non-coding RNA is filed under the name Capsella rubella. RNAcentral describes it as "long non-coding RNA (CRUB_LNC000751)". Lineage: Eukaryota; Viridiplantae; Streptophyta; Magnoliopsida; Brassicales; Brassicaceae. The record is from RNAcentral.